ACAUAAUGCCCAGAUAGAACAGUAAUAAUCACAAUAGGUUUGGUAACCUCUCACUGGCUCAGUGCCGAAGAGACGGUAGGCUAGGCUAGGCUAGGCUGCCACAAAUGUAACCGUUUACAUUUCAAAUUUUAAUGUAAUCUGCGUAGGUACACUGACAUGCCUUUCUUGCACAUCAUAUUAACUCAAAACGAAUAAACGUUUUGAAUAACUGCCAUUUUCAAAGUUAUGUCCCUCCCGUCCUUGACUUUUCCUAAAUAAGUGUAACACACUAUCAUUGUUAAAACCUUAAUAUUAUAAGCCGUUUUAAGAGGACAUGUCACCCCCCCUUGCCCGUCAGACCUGUGCAGUUGAUGGCCCAUCGAAACUACACCUGAACUAUAUCGAAACUAACUUCACACAUAUAGUAAUAGAGUUAGCCUAAAGACAAUAUUAAAUUGACAAUAGUCUAAUUAGUGAGAAUAUUAUAAAUUGUUAAAUGGUAUAUGAAGAAUCGGAUGAACAGCGCAGCUUGGAAUUGACACAGUGGCAGGUAAACAAAACGGAGUGCCAAUAACGGACUUUUGCUCAUUCACAAGCAGAAGGUGGCGCUCCUCCCCGGUCGGGCGGCGCUCGGCGGUCGUCGUUGGAGACUUAGUGACCCCAAGAUGCGACCAAGGUCUAUAAUUCUCCAACUAUGUCCAUUGGACUUUUCUUUGCCUCCUGAACCUUUUUCCUCACUGUGUGUGAGGACAAGAUACACUUGGGUCCUCUAUCAGUGAUGGAUGACAAAGGAAUUUGACAUGGAUGCUAGCAAAUUGUUAUAUCCCAGUGCAACAGCAAGCCAUGGAAGGCCACAAUACAGGUUGUUAAACUGAGAUUCAUUUUCAAAAGUAGAAAGCUAAUGCAGAUUUAAUUUUGUUAGAUUUAUUUUAUAAGAAACUUUAGGGGUGCCAAUAAUUUUGACACUUAUCUUUUUUCAGUUUAUUUUUUUUUAACUUGUUAAACAAAAUCUCUUUCUCUGAGCAGUUUUAUUAGUAUAAAAUAAUAAAACAUAAAAAAAUCAGCAUACUAUAUAGCUUGGUAUUCGUAUUUUUUUUUGCUGUUUUAUCUGCUCCUAUUUUGUUUUCAAUGAGACCGAUUUUGAAUUAUCAUACAGUACAUAUAUUAAAUCACACAAGAAUAGAAUAGCAUAGGCUUCUUAACCAGUGGCUUCAUACAUAAAUACCUACACAGUCCUCUCUCUGUAUGUCCUAUAGGAUUAAACAUAAGGUGGGAGGUUAAUAAGCCUGUUCACAUUAUACAAGGUGAUUGCUUUAAAUUGCAUCAUAUUCUGUCAGAUCCACCUACAGUGCUUUCAGAAAGUAUUCACACCCCUUUACUUUUUCCACAUUUUGUUGUGUUACAGCCUGAAUUUAAGAUGGAUUACAUUGAGAUUUUGUGUCACUGGUCUAUUACACACAAUACCC
RNAcentral lists this long non-coding RNA (1445 nucleotides) under Salmo salar (Atlantic salmon). Its description in RNAcentral is "lncRNA (ENSSSAG00000102922.1, ENSSSAG00075048710.1)". The record is from RNAcentral. Lineage: Eukaryota; Metazoa; Chordata; Actinopteri; Salmoniformes; Salmonidae.